GGAGAUUCCGGUUCUACUUGUUGAAGAGAUGUCAUAAAGAUUGUUAUACAUUAGGGACUACAGCCUCGUUCCUCCUGGUAAACAUGGGUCUGUGAGUAUUUGGGGGAUUUUGUUCCAGAAGAAACCUUAACAUUCAACAUGUGACUCCACGAGGCUCCUUAGUUCUGAACACAUGUGACCAGUGACUUGAAAGUGGGUGAGAGCCUCGAGGCCUGGCUGUGAGGCUACAGGGCAACAAUUUCCUUGCCUGCUGAAAUAAGAAAUAAGAAAAUAAGAAAUAAGAAAGCAGACUUUUCUGCACAAGCCAACGUUGCCAAACAGGGAUAUAACAUCAACACUCGCUCACAGCACCAAGCUACCCCUUUGGAGGAAGUCCAGAGAGGUGGUUUGGAGAAGAAGCACACAGAGAAAGCAAGCCUGCUUCAGAAACCAGAUAUGAGCAGAGGACAGAAAUGGCACACCUAGAAGCUCUUGCAUGGGAGAAACCACUUCUGGGGAUUUAUUUUGUAAUUCAAAC
RNAcentral lists this long non-coding RNA (517 nucleotides) under Mus spicilegus (steppe mouse). RNAcentral describes it as "lncRNA (ENSMSIG00000021057.1)". The record is from RNAcentral. Lineage: Eukaryota; Metazoa; Chordata; Mammalia; Rodentia; Muridae.